Artibeus jamaicensis (Jamaican fruit-eating bat) is the source of this 693-nucleotide long non-coding RNA. RefSeq lists it as uncharacterized. Lineage: Eukaryota; Metazoa; Chordata; Mammalia; Chiroptera; Phyllostomidae. The record is from RefSeq and is a predicted model, not a curated record. The transcript has 3 exons.
UGGAAGUGGGUGUUGAUGGAAAAAAAAUGCUGCUUUUCCUGCUAUCUCUAAGGAGAGGAGAUGUAUGGGGAAGAACACUAUGACAACAUCAUACAUUUCACCACGGUGCCAAGAACUGUAGAGAAAUGCAGAGCCCAACAUCUUUCCUCAUUUAAUCCUCAGAACCAUCUGGUAAAUUGUAUUUCAGCUCCAGGUCCAGAAAAGCAGCAAAGCCAGGUGGGCAACACCAGGACCAGCUGCAGUGACUAAUGACCCCCCUGCCCUGGCGCUGACCAAUCGGUGGAGACUAUGACCGUGAAAGAGUACACCUGGAAGAGCUGAUGAAUACCCUGUUGAGAUCCUUCCCUAAGACCUCCCCUACACUCCCAGCCUGUGAAACCCUCAGACAUAGGACCCAGCCUGCACUCUCCCUCUCCCUCCCAGUAGCAUGCCUGUGCUUUUCUCUUCCCCUUCUUUUUCCCCUACAGGCAUGCAUCUCCUAAACUCUAAAGGUCCCCACAAGACUUGCAGCUGGGGAGUAAUGAGCAACAGUGGCUUUUAACCCCCUGACUCUCCAGUGAGCAGACAGCAGCCCCACCUUGGCUCACUUCUUUCCUGCAACAUUUUUAGAGAACCAAAGCAGCCCAGCCUAGUCUCUCUACUGUUGCUUCUCCUAUCCUAAACCCUUCCUUGUUUCCCUCUCCCCAGCUUUAA